Molecule: ribosomal RNA, 460 nt
Filed under: uncultured bacterium
Lineage: Bacteria
Description: partial 16S ribosomal RNA
Rfam family: Bacterial small subunit ribosomal RNA
Source: RNAcentral
CCUACGGGUGGCAGCAGUGAGGAAUAUUGGUCAAUGGACGCAAGCCUGAACCAGCCAUGCAGCGUGCAGGAUGACUGCCCUAUGAGUUGUAAACUGCUUUUGUACGAGGAUAAACUCAGAUACGUGUGCCUGUCUGUAAGUAUCGUAUGAAUAAGGAUCGGCUAACUCCGUGCCAGCAGCCGCGGUAAUACGGAGGAUUCAAGCGUUAUCCGGAUUUAUUGGGUUUAAAGGGUGCGUAGACGGUCGGAUAAGUUAGAGGUGAAAGUCUGAGGCUCAACUGCGGAAUUGCAACUGAUACUGGCAGGCUAGAGAGUAGUUGAGGUAGGCGGAAUGUGUGGUGUAGCGGUGAAAUGCUUAGAGAUCAUACAGAACUCCGAUUGCGAAGGCAGCUUACCAAGCUGCUACUGACAUUGAGGCUCGAAAGUGUGGGGAGCAAACAGGAUUAGAUACCCUAGUAGUC